AAACACAGCGAUUUUUAAGCUAUAGUCGCUAUAUUUGAAGCUACAUGAUUUGGAAGCUAUUUUAGCGGACUCAUCUACAACUUCGUCCGAUAGAAACGUAAUAGCUGAUGUUAGCGAUAUUCGACAGAUACUCAAUAUACACAAAGACACAUAAAUGAUUUUGAGUGACCACAUCAUAUGGUUUGAUACGUUGCAAGCUUCUUCAACCGCAGCAUGUUUGGUGAUUCGCAUUUACACGGCUGGCACAUUGAGGUUGCUGCUUAUGUACUAUGAAGCAUUAACAAUGUUACGAAGCACUUUGUUUUGGAACCGCUGGAUACACAUAGUUGCGCUCCAUAUGGUCAAACAGCUUUGAACAUUUGGUUGUAUAUAAGAAAUUUGCAGUGAAUUGAAAGGAAUGCAUUUCUACCCGUAAGCCAUAGAAGUUUUGCAUCAAGUGUCAAACCUAAAUUGCGGUGUUUGAAUAUUGAACUCGGUUUCGAUGACCGAAUUAGGAGACAUAGAAGUAUCGCAUGUGUAUAACAAAUAUAGUAUCGGUGCUAAUAUGCUCCCUCCCUUUGCCAGCAUUGAUGGACUUUAACUCAGAGUACUAAUUUUGGAUCUUUACAUGGAUAUAAAACACUCAGUAAGCUCAUAAUGAUGUAUACUUUUUCUUAUAAUAACCGCUCUCCCGCUCCGUGCAUUGAUGUUUGGAUGUAUAGUUUGUUUCAUAUAAUAAUUUGUGGUAUGACCAAAAGUCUGGCAUAUUUUACAUUAUGGGAUAGUGUCUUACUUCGUAUUAUUUCAAUUUGUAAUUUGUUUCAAUUUGACACCGUGUACGUAAUUAUUCCCUAUUGCUAUGCUCUUAUAGACAUUUCAAUAAACUGAAACA
Molecule: long non-coding RNA, 871 nt
Organism: Teleopsis dalmanni
Lineage: Eukaryota; Metazoa; Arthropoda; Insecta; Diptera; Diopsidae
Exons: 4
Source: RefSeq, a predicted model, not a curated record